GAUGAACGCUGGCGGCGUGCCUAAUACAUGCAAGUCGAGCGAACAGACGAGGAGCUUGCUCCUCUGACGUUAGCGGCGGACGGGUGAGUAACACGUGGAUAACCUACCUAUAAGACUGGGAUAACUUCGGGAAACCGGAGCUAAUACCGGAUAAUAUAUUGAACCGCAUGGUUCAAUAGUGAAAGACGGUUUUGCUGUCACUUAUAGAUGGAUCCGCGCCGCAUUAGCUAGUUGGUAAGGUAACGGCUUACCAAGGCAACGAUGCGUAGCCGACCUGAGAGGGUGGUCGGCCACACCGGAACUGAGACCCGGUCCAGACUCCUACGGGAGGCAGCAGUAGGGAAUCUUCCGCAAUUGGCGAAAGCCUGACGGAGCCACGCCGCGUGAGUGAUGAAGGUCUUCGGAUCGUAAAACUCUGUUAUUAGGGAAGAACAAAUGUGUAAGUAACUAUGCACGUCUUGACGGUACCUAAUCAGAAAGCCACGGCUAACUACGUG
Molecule: ribosomal RNA, 497 nt
Filed under: uncultured bacterium
Lineage: Bacteria
Description: partial 16S ribosomal RNA
Rfam family: Bacterial small subunit ribosomal RNA
Source: RNAcentral